Molecule: ribosomal RNA, 396 nt
Filed under: uncultured bacterium
Lineage: Bacteria
Description: partial 16S ribosomal RNA
Rfam family: Bacterial small subunit ribosomal RNA
Source: RNAcentral
AUACGAAGGGUGCAAGCGUUAAUCGGAAUUACUGGGCGUAAAGCGCGCGUAGGUGGUUUUGUAAGUUGGAGGUGAAAGCCCCGGGCUCAACCUGGGAAUUGCCUCCAAAACUGCAUGACUAGAGUACGGUAGAGGGUAGUGGAAUUUCCUGUGUAGCGGUGAAAUGCGUAGAUAUAGGAAGGAACACCAGUGGCGAAGGCGAUUACCGGGACUGAUACUGACACUGAGGUGCGAAAGCGUGAGGAGCAAACAGGAUUAGAUACCCUGGUAGUCCACGCCGUAAACGAUGUCAACUAGCCGUUGGGAUCCUUGAGAUCUUAGUGGCGCAGCUAACGCAUUAAGUUGACCGCCUGGGGAGUACGGCCGCAAGGUUAAAACUCAAAUGAAUUGACGGGG